AGAGUUUGAUCAUGGCUCAGGACGAACGCUGGCGGCGUGCCUAACACAUGCAAGUCGAGCGAGGAACUUCGGUUCCUAGCGGCGGACGGGUGAGUAACACGUGGGUAACCUGCCUUGUAGAGGGGGAUAGCCUUCCGAAAGGAAGAUUAAUACCGCAUAACAUUGCGAUAUCGCAUGAUAUUGUAAUCAAAGGAGCAAUCCGCUACAAGAUGGACCCGCGGCGCAUUAGCUAGUUGGUGAGGUAACGGCUCACCAAGGCGACGAUGCGUAGCCGGCCUGAGAGGGUGAACGGCCACAUUGGAACUGAGACACGGUCCAGACUCCUACGGGAGGCAGCAGUGGGGAAUAUUGCACAAUGGGCGAAAGCCUGAUGCAGCAACGCCGCGUGAGUGAUGAAGGCCUUCGGGUUGUAAAGCUCUGUCUUCUGGGACGAUAAUGACGGUACCAGAGGAGGAAGCCACGGCUAACUACGUGCCAGCAGUCGCGGUAAUACGUAGGUGGCAAGCGUUGUCCGGAUUUACUGGGCGUAAAGGAUGCGUAGGCGGAUAUUUACGUGAGAUGUGAAAUUCCCGGGCUUAACUUGGGAGCUGCAUUUCAAACUGGGUAUCUAGAGUGUGGGAGAGGAAAGUGGAAUUCCUAGUGUAGCGGUGAAAUGCGUAGAGAUUAGGAAGAACCCCAGUGGCGAAGGCGACUUUCUGGACCAUAACUGACGCUGAGGCAUGAAAGCGUGGGGAGCAAACAGGAUUAGAUACCCUGGUAGUCCACGCCGUAAGCGAUGAAUACUAGGUGUGGGAGUUGUCAUGACUUCCGUGCCGCAGUUAACACAAUAAGUAUUCCGCCUGGGGAGUACGGUCGCAAGAUUAAAACUCAAAUGAAUUGACGG
Molecule: ribosomal RNA, 883 nt
Filed under: uncultured bacterium
Lineage: Bacteria
Description: bacterial SSU rRNA
Rfam family: Bacterial small subunit ribosomal RNA
Source: RNAcentral